Molecule: ribosomal RNA, 226 nt
Filed under: uncultured Enterobacteriaceae bacterium
Lineage: Bacteria; Pseudomonadati; Pseudomonadota; Gammaproteobacteria; Enterobacterales; Enterobacteriaceae
Description: partial 16S ribosomal RNA
Rfam family: Bacterial small subunit ribosomal RNA
Source: RNAcentral
UCGGCUUAGAGUUUGAUCAUGGCUCACAUUGCACGCUGGCGGCAGGCUUAACACAUGCAACUCCAACGGUAAAGUAGCUUGCUACUUACUAGUGGCGGACGGGUGAGUAACUGGGAAUUUACCAAAUGGAGGGGGACAACAGUUGGAAACGGCUGCUAAUACCGCAUAACGUCGAGAGACCAAAGGGUUUCGACUUGCCAUUUGAUGAGCCCAUAUGAGAUUAGCU